ACAGAGGUCUCAAGCGUUGUUCGGAUUUACUGGGCGUAAAGGGCGCGUAGGCGGCCUUGUCAGUCAGGCGUGAAAGCCCCGGGCUCAACCUGGGAGGUGCGCUUGGGACGGCGAGGCUGGAGUUCGGGAGAGGAGAGUGGAAUUCCCAGUGUAGAGGUGAAAUUCGUAGAUAUUGGGAAGAACACCGGUGGCGAAGGCGGCUCUCUGGACCGACACUGACGCUGAGGCGCGAAAGCGUGGGGAGCAAACAGGA
RNAcentral lists this ribosomal RNA (253 nucleotides) under uncultured prokaryote. RNAcentral's name for it is "partial 16S ribosomal RNA". It matches the Rfam family "Bacterial small subunit ribosomal RNA", at positions 525 to 777 of the family's 1533-position model. The record is from RNAcentral.